UAAGACGGAGGGUGCAAACGUUGUUCGGAAUCACUGGGCAUAAAGCGCACGUAGGCGGUCCGCUAAGUCAGUUGUGAAAUCCCUCGGCUCAACCGAGGAGCUGCACCUGAUACUGGCGGGCUCGAGAACGGUAGGGGUGAGUGGAACUCCAGGUGGAGCGGUGAAAUGCGUAGAUAUCUGGAGGAACACCGGUGGCGAAGGCGGCUCACUGGACCGUAUCUGACGCUGAGGUGCGAAAGCUAGGGUAGCAAACGGGAUUAGAUACCCCGGUAGUCCUAGCCGUAAACGAUGGGUACUAGGCAAUGGGGAUACCUAUGUUCCUCAUUGCCGGAGCAAAUGUAUUAAGUACCCCGCCUGGGGAGUACGCUCGCAAGGGUG
Molecule: ribosomal RNA, 378 nt
Filed under: uncultured bacterium
Lineage: Bacteria
Description: bacterial SSU rRNA
Rfam family: Bacterial small subunit ribosomal RNA
Source: RNAcentral